Molecule: long non-coding RNA, 680 nt
Filed under: Chinchilla lanigera (long-tailed chinchilla)
Lineage: Eukaryota; Metazoa; Chordata; Mammalia; Rodentia; Chinchillidae
Description: lncRNA (ENSCLAG00000024727.1)
Source: RNAcentral
GGCCCUCACGCGGCAGAGCCCCUUUGGAAAGACUGGCUGAGCUGGGGUGAGCACACCCGGAGGCGGGAGGUGAGUGCCUGCUGCGGGUCUCUGUGCUGUGGCGGCGGGAGGGCGACAGGUUUGAGGUCGCGAGAGACACCAGAGGACGGAGCAUCAGGAGGGCAGCACGGAUGGCGCAGCCACUCCAGGCUUUGGUGUGGACGAUGCAGCGCUCGACACCGCGGUGCCGGCAUGAGCGACCGCAGGCAGCAGGGCUGCAGGCCGGAGAGAUGCGUGCACUUGGACAGCGGCUGCAGGACAAGAAAGCCCUGCGCAAGGCUGAGUCCCGGCUUUGAGAUGCAAGAUCUGUGAAACUGCGCCUGGCCGGCGGAAAGGCAAAUGUCCGGAGAUGUUCAUACACCUGUGACUCACCGCCGCUUCCAUCAAGAUCUGUUGCCUCGCUUGUCAAAAUGCCCAAAUAAUUGGCUUGGCUGUGCUCAGAUAAACCAGUCACGUGAAUGAAUUGAGCCGCAGCGCUCGCUUUCUGGGGCUGCUUCCUGCAAGAGCGCUGAUCUUCGGAGGAGACGCACAUGCGCAUUAAAACGCCAGCGAGGGGCUGGGGAUUUAGCUCAGCGGCAAAAGCGCCUGCCUGGCAAGCGCAAGGUCGUGAGUUCGGUUCCCGGUACCGGAGAAAAACCAAA